GAUAAUUAAGAGUUUUAUCUGUGUGUUUUGUCUUCACUGAGCAAAGAAAGGGUAAAUUAAAAUAAAAAUGAUGAGGGAUUUAAGCUGGUAAAGUGAAAAUUUCUGAACCAUUCAGAUGAGUUAUUGGGGAAGCCUGAAAAAGGCUUUCAAAUUACAAAAUAAGAGGCUAAAUUGAUGCCUUUCUAGUGGGGUGAUUACAUAGUUAAGCUUAUUUUAUUUUAUUUUUUUGUACUGGGAAUUGAACUCAGGGCAUUCAUCCCCAGCCCUAUUUAAUAUUUAUUUAGAGACAGGGUCUCACUGAGAUGCUUAGCACCUCACCACUGCGGUGGCUAGCUUUGAACUCAAAAUCCUCCUGUCUCAGCCUCCUAACCUGCUGAUAUUAUAGGUGUGCACCACUGUGCCUUGCUGGUUACUCCUUAUUUUCCUUUUGCUUAGAAGCUAGAGGGUAGAUUGAUUUCUCUUCCACACAAUAUCAGUUGGUUUAAAUGAACUACUUUGCUUUAACUUCAGAUAAUAUCAGUUCAGUUUGUUUUCCAAAUUAGCAAAACAUAGAGUAUGCAUCCUCCCCUCCAUUCCCAUCCCUUUCCUUCCCUCCAUCCCUUUCCUUCCUCCCUCCCUCCCUCUACAGUGCUGGCCAUGGAACCCAAGGCUUCAUACAUAUUAGACUACACCCUACAUUCUGAAUGUCCGUCACCUUUAUGUUAUCCUAAGAAUGCCAUCUAGUAAAUGGGGGCCUGUGCAUCUGAUUCAAUAUCAGAACAGUGGGUCUUCCAUUCAGACUGAGGCUUACAUUCUAACCCUUCAAGUGUGUGAUCCACUCCUGUCCCCUCUCAAAUCUGUCAUUGAAGUGACAAAGAGAUUCAGAACCCCACACCAAAGUGAUCAAGAGCUGGACUUCUCAAACUUUUAAGAAUGUACAGGUCAUCUAGGAAUCCUGCUAACCUGCCCGUGGUGAGGUAGAGGGGCUGGAGCUCUGCAUUUCUAAC
Molecule: long non-coding RNA, 986 nt
Filed under: Marmota monax (woodchuck)
Lineage: Eukaryota; Metazoa; Chordata; Mammalia; Rodentia; Sciuridae
Source: RNAcentral